CAGAAGCACGCACCCGCCGCAUCAUCCGACGUCGCCUCUGAGUUACCUUGGAGCGUUUAGCUGUUUUGAAAUGUUCAUAAUCGGGUUUUACUGAGUAUAAUUGACAUGGUGUCUAAAUAUGAAUAUGAUGUGGCUAAUUACCACCCCGACUCCAGUGGCAUGGACAUAUCAACGAGUGCAUGCGAACAGCUGUCCUGCAGAGUUCACUUCAGUUCAGCGUUGCCCCCAAUAACACUACCAGUGCUGAAUGGCUCACUGCAUCAACGAGCACAUCAAGCCCACCACAAGUUACUGUUUGCAAAAUGAUUUUGUGUUGUUUUCUAUUUAUAGGUAUGCAGUUAUUUAUCUGUUUGUUUGUUGAUAUUUUGCCUGGGUUUGGUAUCUUAAUAAAAGCUGUUAUUAUUGAA
Alosa sapidissima (American shad) is the source of this 407-nucleotide long non-coding RNA. RefSeq lists it as uncharacterized. Lineage: Eukaryota; Metazoa; Chordata; Actinopteri; Clupeiformes; Clupeidae. The record is from RefSeq and is a predicted model, not a curated record. The transcript has 2 exons.